ACCGCGGUAGCCCAAUAAUAAUAGGUAGUGGCAAAGGUCGCAGGUUCAAAUCCUGCCUGCGGUG
Non-coding RNA from Phthorimaea operculella (potato tuberworm), 64 nucleotides. The record is from the annotation of a GenBank genome assembly. NCBI's taxonomy places the organism in Eukaryota, Metazoa, Arthropoda, Insecta, Lepidoptera, Gelechiidae.